GAUACUCAGGGCACACAGCAUAUAGAGUAGUCUUGUUCCGCAAAAAAACAGUACCUCUGCUGCUGCUGUACACUCUGCUGCUUCAGAAUUGCUGUUUAACACUGUGGGUUCACCCUUGAAUUCUUCCUGGAUGAAGCCAAGAACCCUCCUGGGCUAAGCCUCAAUUUUGGGGCUUGCCUGUCCUGCGUCAGCAUGAGUAUGGACUUUGGGGUUACAAAUAGGUGCAUUUGCAAAUAUGGAAUCCACGAAUGAUGAAGGUAGACUAUCACUGGGUACCACCGGAAUUCUCUGACCUGAUAACUUCAUAUGCAAAUCCUGGCUGAUCCAUCCUACUCAUUCAGUAAACCCUCAGACUUCAGACUGGAGCAGAACACAGGUCAAUUUCCUGGGCCACUGUAGACCUGGCCACUCCCUACGUCUGCACAGCCACACGUGGCUGCUGAGCACCAGGAAUGUGGCCGUAAGCAUGAGAUAUUGGGAUGUAUUGAGAUGUGCUGUAAGCAUGAAAUAGUCACCAGCGCCUGAAGACAUGGUGUGGCAAUGGGAACGUAGAAUAGCUCAUUCACAGUUCUUAAAUGCUGAUUACAUAUUGAAAUGAUGAUAUUUUGAAUAUAUUGAGUUAAAAUAUAUUUUAAAAUUAAGUCUACUCGUUUUUAACAUGGCUAUUAGAAAAUUAAAAACUACUCAAGUGCCUCAUAUUUCUAUUGGUGAGUUUCAGUCUCGGUUCCAAGCUCACAUUGGAAGAGGCUUAGAACCCAGGUGAAGAGGUUUGGUCAGAAGAGACAGACUUAGGCUUUCUUACUUCAACGGGAGCAUCGUUCACUUGCUGUGAGCUCAGAGCCUGUGAUGAUAUCAUGGACUUAAUCAUGCUUCUUAUUUGACUUGUUUAAAAAAAACUCUGAAAUCCUAUGACUUGUUUGGAUUUUAGCAUCUUAUUUUGAAAAGAAUUCUUUCUGUUAUGGGCUGAACUGUGUCCACUCAAAAUUCAUGUAUGGAAGCCUUAACCCGCAGUGCCCCAAAUGUGAUUGUAUUCAGAGAUAAGGCCUUGAAAGCAGUGAAUAAGUGAAAAAUGAGGCCAUUUAAGUGGGCCCUCAUCCAAUCUGACUGGUGUCCUUCCUUAUUUAUUUAUUUAUUUGAGACACAGUCUCACUCUGUUGCCAGGCUGGAGUGCAGUGGCACGAUCUCGGCUCACUGCCACCUCUGCCUCCCAGGUUCAAGCGAUUCUCCUGCCUCAGCCUCCCCAGUAGCUGGGACUACAGAUGAUGAAGGUUUAAGAAGCGGCAUCAUCAGAGAACUGUGUUUUGAAGAUUUGAGGGAAGGGCUGACCUCAGGAUUUUAUACUAGGUAUUUGAUGCAAUGCAGACUGGAAUCCUCCCCACAAGGAUGCCCUGGCCUGAGUGGCACAGAGAUCAAUGCAGCAGUCAUUUCCUGGGUAGGGAAAGCCUAUCCACAGUGGCCCUGGAAUGAUGCUGGUCUUAUCUUCUAUUCCUAGGAAGGCCCUAUCUCAAGUGGCUCUGGUCCAUGCAAACAGAUGGAAACGGGUGUGGGGAAGCACAGGCCUCCUACUCAUGUUAAGAGAGCUGCUCAGAGGCAGGAAUCCAGAACCAGGAAUGUCCCCAGUGGCUGCCCAAGGUACAAGUGGCAGGCAGCGGGGAGAAUGGCAUGUGAAGUCAUUUGUAACCUGGCCCCAGCUUGGUUUCCAAGUCUCAGAGGAGAUUAUGGAUAUGGUAGUGCCUGGCUCAGUGCUUAAAAUCCAUUCUCCUGCUAUUUCCCUCACCUACACUCAGCCCCACAAGCCGAGAUGUUUGCUGGACAUUUCAGGCACUGCCACCCAGUUCUGUCUACCUUACCUGCUAACACCUGUUGACCAUCCUUCAUGUGAAGGCUUCCCCAAAUACUUCCCAAUCAAAACACUAAAAGGCAAACCUGAAAUUAAUAAAAAUGUUAAUUAAAUCUGUA
Pan troglodytes (chimpanzee) is the source of this 1959-nucleotide long non-coding RNA. RefSeq lists it as uncharacterized. The record is from RefSeq and is a predicted model, not a curated record. NCBI's taxonomy places the organism in Eukaryota, Metazoa, Chordata, Mammalia, Primates, Hominidae. The transcript has 4 exons.